RNAcentral lists this ribosomal RNA (433 nucleotides) under uncultured bacterium. RNAcentral describes it as "partial 16S ribosomal RNA". It matches the Rfam family "Bacterial small subunit ribosomal RNA", at positions 29 to 507 of the family's 1533-position model. The record is from RNAcentral.
AACGAACGCUGGCGGCAUGCCUAAUACAUGCAAGUCGAACGAGACCUUCGGGAGCUUUCUCGUAUGGGUUCGUAACCCGACGGAUGCUUCACUCAUGGUUGGCCUAACUCCCCGAAAGGGAUGCCUAUAGGGGACAAUAUCUACUACCGAAUGAUUUAUCGCCUCUGGAUGGGCCCGCGUUGGAUUAGCUAUUUGGUAGGGUAAAAGCCUACCAAGGCGACGAUCCAUAGCUGGUCUGGGAGGAUGAUCAGCCACACUGGGAGUGGGACACGGCCCAGACUCCUACGGAAGGGGGCAAUGCGGAAUGUUGGACACUGGGCGAAAGCAUGAUCCAGCAAGGCCGGGUGAGUGAUGAAGGCCUUAGGGUUGUAAAGCUCAUUUAACCGGGAUGAUAGUGACGGUACCGGAAGAGUAAGCGCCGGCUAACUACGUG